GAGGAAUGCUUCGUAGAGUUGGGAACCGAACACAUAAUAAUAUUUGCCUUUCCAACUUUAUAUAUCUUCAUUUCCUUAAUUAAUUAGCUUCUGUAACCAUGGCUUACUAUGGUAUCUCCAAGGCCCUGGCAAUCCUGGCUCUCGCACUUGCUUUCUGCGUCCAUGGCGCUCUGAGCGGGGGGGUGGAAUGCGAGAACCUGAAUAAAGACUCGUGCGCGUUCGCCGUAUCAUCCUCCGGCAAACGGUGCUUUCUGGAGAGGUCCGUGAGGAGGAGCGGGGAAGAAGCGUACGAGUGCCGGACGUCGGAGAUCGACGCCGGCGGCAAGCUCAAGGAUUGGGUAGAGAGCCAGCAAUGCGUAGACGACUGCGGGCUGGAGAGGACGGUGCUCGGCAUCUCGUCGGACUCUCUUCUGGAGGCCGACUUCCGGCAGAAGCUCUGCUCGACGCAGUGCUACGGCGGCUGCCUCAAUAUCGUCGACCUCUACUUCAGUCUUGCUGCUGCUGAAGGUAUAUUUCUUCCAAAAUAUUGUGAAGAGCAAGGCGGAAAGGCGAGGAGGGGAAUGGCGGAGAUCAGAAGCUCAGGGCUGACUCUGGCGAGUGGGCCUAUUGAAUCAGGAAGCGCCGACGGCGGCUUUGUCCCUCAUAAGUUGAUGCUUGGACCUGCAAUGCCUCCCUAUAAUUAAUUAAUUAAAUAUAUAUUUAUAUAUAUAUAUUGGGUUUUCAAUCAAGUUGUUAAGGAAUAAUUAUAAGUUAAUUAGCUAGCUGCUUCCUCUUCUUUCGGAGUGCUUUUUGCUUGUGUUUAAUAAAUUUCGCCAUUCUUGUGCGAGACCGUACGUCACCAUUGCAACCAUAUAUAUAGAAUCAAAAAGAAAUUAAGUUGACGUUGGAAUUAGAAAGAAAACAGAUGCUUUCUCCUCUCCUCUACUGUAAUUCAGCAAGUUUAGCAACUUACUGUUGUAUUGUAUUGUAUUGUUUUUAUUGCUUAGAUUGGAUUUGGGUUUGAAUUUGAAUUUGUGUGAAAUAUUUAUAUAUAUAUAUAUAUAUGCUCUCUCAAUGUCUCUCUUAAUAUACAUAUAU
RNA transcript from Diospyros lotus (date-plum), 1077 nucleotides. RefSeq lists it as uncharacterized. The record is from RefSeq and is a predicted model, not a curated record. NCBI's taxonomy places the organism in Eukaryota, Viridiplantae, Streptophyta, Magnoliopsida, Ericales, Ebenaceae. The transcript has 4 exons.